GAUGAACGCUGGCGGCGUGCUUAACACAUGCAAGUCGAACGAAGCACUUUUGCCAGAUCCCUUCGGGGUGAAGGCGCUAGUGACUGAGUGGCGGACGGGUGAGUAACGCGUGGAUAACCUGCCUUACACAGGGGGAUAACAGUUAGAAAUGACUGCUAAUACCGCAUAAGCGCACAGCAUCGCAUGAUGCCGUGUGAAAAACUCCGGUGGUGUAAGAUGGAUCCGCGUCUGAUUAGCUAGUUGGUGGGGUAACGGCCCACCAAGGCGACGAUCAGUAGCCGGCCUGAGAGGGUGGAUGGCCACAUUGGGACUGAGACACGGCCCAGACUCCUACGGGAGGCAGCAGUGGGGAAUGUUGGGCAAUGGGCGAAAGCCUGACCCAGCGACGCCGCGUGGAGGAAGAAGGUUUUCGGAUUGUAAACUCCUGUCUUCGGGGAAGAUAAUGACGGUACCCGAGGAGGAAGCCACGGCUAACUACGUGCCAGCAGCCGCAGUAAAAC
RNAcentral lists this ribosomal RNA (500 nucleotides) under uncultured bacterium. RNAcentral describes it as "bacterial SSU rRNA". It matches the Rfam family "Bacterial small subunit ribosomal RNA", at positions 28 to 526 of the family's 1533-position model. The record is from RNAcentral.